RNAcentral lists this transfer RNA (70 nucleotides) under Dipodomys ordii (Ord's kangaroo rat). It matches the Rfam family "tRNA". Rfam says of the family: Transfer RNA (tRNA) molecules are approximately 80 nucleotides in length. The record is from Rfam by way of RNAcentral. Lineage: Eukaryota; Metazoa; Chordata; Mammalia; Rodentia; Heteromyidae.
GGGAAUGUGGCUCAAUGGUAGAGUGCUUGCCUUGCAUGCAGGAGGCCCUGGGUUUGAUUCCUCAGCACCA